This 602-nucleotide long non-coding RNA is filed under the name Ursus maritimus (polar bear). RNAcentral's name for it is "lncRNA (ENSUMAG00000006574.1)". Lineage: Eukaryota; Metazoa; Chordata; Mammalia; Carnivora; Ursidae. The record is from RNAcentral.
GAUUAUUUUAAAUGUUUUCUUUACUCAAGCAGGUGGAUUUAGGGCAUGACGGUAAUAAUAAACACUCCUCUAAAGAACAGAUUUUGAUCAAGGAAGUCUCCAAUUGGUUCCAUAUAUAAUCUUUACUCUUUUCGUUUUCCCAGGGCAAAAACUGCACAAAAGAAACAAACCACUGCUCUUGAAAUAUAAUACCAGUGGAAAAAAACAAACAAACAAAAAACAAACAAAACCUCAAGACAAAAACUGGCCUAACAAUGCAAACUAGAACUUAAAUAAGAUCUUACCACACCUCUGCAGCCACCCAUAUCCAGUGUGUAUCCUGGAAAGACUUAUGACUAACCAAAGAGAGGAGAGACCAUGAAAAGAGUCAGUCAUGGAUUUUUAAUUUCAUUCUACUUCUUUGAAAUAAAGAAAGUUGAAAAGAGGGCGCUUCUUUUUCUGCCAAAGAUCUGGAAACACUUUGUCCCUGGAUGGACUUUCAGCCAAAUGAGGAUCUCCAUAGGAAUGGAAGAAAUCACACGCUCUGCUCCAGGAUCCUACAUUUGCCAGUCUUCAUGAAAAGUGAAAAUGGGCUGAUUCUGAUGGCAGCGAUCUUUGACUAC